This 241-nucleotide unclassified non-coding RNA is filed under the name Hevea brasiliensis (rubber tree). The record is from RNAcentral. Lineage: Eukaryota; Viridiplantae; Streptophyta; Magnoliopsida; Malpighiales; Euphorbiaceae.
CUCAGAACACAUGGCUUUCGCUUCCUGGGUCUCUCGCUUCCGCUCUUCUUCCAAAGCUGCCUACACCAAUCUCCGCAGCUCCUUUUUCCUCAAUCUCAGGCCUCAAACCACACUAGCCACCGCGAAUCUCAUCGACUCCGGCGCUGCGAAACGGCCAUUUCUGUUAUGGUCAAGCUCUCUCCUUCCUCUGACCCUCGCUGUCUCUGCUGGAUCACUCGCCUUCCAUUUCCAACCUCAGCCG